Molecule: transfer RNA, 77 nt
Filed under: bacterium
Lineage: Bacteria
Also listed under: 1 other name
Description: tRNA-Asp
Rfam family: tRNA
About the family: Transfer RNA (tRNA) molecules are approximately 80 nucleotides in length. Their secondary structure includes four short double-helical elements and three loops (D, anti-codon, and T loops).
Source: RNAcentral
GCGGGAGUAGCUCAACUGGUUAGAGCGCCGCCCUGUCACGGCGGAGGUUGCGAGUUCAAGUCUCGUCUCUCGCGCCA